This is a long non-coding RNA of Oncorhynchus gorbuscha (pink salmon), 317 nucleotides long. RefSeq lists it as uncharacterized. NCBI's taxonomy places the organism in Eukaryota, Metazoa, Chordata, Actinopteri, Salmoniformes, Salmonidae. The record is from RefSeq and is a predicted model, not a curated record. The transcript is spliced from 3 exons.
CAGAAUUGUUUCGGUUGUUGCUUUGUAUUUCAGUUUAUUUUAUUAAAAAUCAUGAACAAUACCACGCUGCACCUUGGUCCUCACUGUCUUACACUGAUGACAGCCGUUACAAGAAGCAGAUACUCAGGUGACAGUUUUAGUAUUCAUCAUUGCAGUCUCUACCAGAAAGUUGGUUGGCCCUCUUGAUGUCACUAAAUGCUUGUGCUGAACUGUUAGACUGCCAGUGGCCAUUGAAGGUGAGCAUUUGCCCACUGAAGUCAGUUACGACGCAGAACUGCAGUCAGGUCAAGACCCUGGUGAGGAUGACGAGCAUGCAG